RNAcentral lists this unclassified non-coding RNA (107 nucleotides) under Arabidopsis thaliana (thale cress). RNAcentral's name for it is "small nucleolar RNA R78". The record is from RNAcentral. Lineage: Eukaryota; Viridiplantae; Streptophyta; Magnoliopsida; Brassicales; Brassicaceae.
UUAGAUGAUGAUGAUGAUGAUGCAUUUGAAGAAGAUUUGGAUGAUGAUGAUGAUGAUGAUGAUGAUGAUGAUGAUGAUGAUGAUGAUUCAUCUCCUGUUUCUGAUGA